RNAcentral lists this ribosomal RNA (449 nucleotides) under uncultured bacterium. Its description in RNAcentral is "partial 16S ribosomal RNA". It matches the Rfam family "Bacterial small subunit ribosomal RNA", at positions 29 to 523 of the family's 1533-position model. The record is from RNAcentral.
AACGAACGCUGGCGGCAUGCCUAACACAUGCAAGUCGAACGAGACCUUCGGGUCUAGUGGCGCACGGGUGCGUAACGCGUGGGAAUCUGCCCCUCGGUUCGGAAUAACAGUUAGAAAUGACUGCUAAUACCGGAUGAUGACUUCGGUCCAAAGAUUUAUCGCCGAGGGAUGAGCCCGCGUAAGAUUAGGUAGUUGGUGGGGUAAAGGCCUACCAAGCCGACGAUCUUUAGCUGGUCUGAGAGGAUGAUCAGCCACACUGGGACUGAGACACGGCCCAGACUCCUACGGGAGGCAGCAGUGGGGAAUAUUGGACAAUGGGCGAAAGCCUGAUCCAGCAAUGCCGCGUGAGUGAUGAAGGCCUUAGGGUUGUAAAGCUCUUUUACCAGGGAUGAUAAUGACAGUACCUGGAGAAUAAGCUCCGGCUAACUCCGUGCCAGCAGCCGCCGCCG